RNAcentral lists this small RNA (28 nucleotides) under Bombyx mori (domestic silkworm). RNAcentral's name for it is "ovarian small RNA-20307". The record is from RNAcentral. Lineage: Eukaryota; Metazoa; Arthropoda; Insecta; Lepidoptera; Bombycidae.
UACAGGCGGCCUGGGGAGCGAUUUGCGC